AGCUGGGUCCUGAAAGAGCUAGCCCAAGCAGUAGACCUGUUUCCUUUUCCCAGUCUCAUGUUUGACGAUGUAAUCCCUGUUCAUUACUACUUAAUACCUCCACCAACAAAGACUAAGAAUGGCAGCAAAGAUAAGGAAAAAGAUUCAGAAAAAGAGAAAGAUUUAAAAGAAGAGUUUACUGAAGCAUUACGAGAUCUUAAAAUUCAGUGGAUGACAAAGCUGGAUUCUAGUGACAUUUAUAACGAAUUGAAAGAAACAUAUCCUAAUUAUCUUCCUCUGUAUGUUGCACGACUUCAUCAAUUGGAUGCUGAAAAGGAACGAAUGAAAAGACUUAAUGAAAUUGUUGAUGCGGCAAAUGCUGUUAUUUCUCAUAUAGAUCAAACAGCCCUAGCAGUUUAUAUUGCAAUGAAGACUGAUCCCAGGCCUGAUGCAGCUACUAUAAAAAAUGACAUGGACAAACAAAAAUCCACCCUCGUAGAUGCCCUUUGUAGGAAAGGUUGUGCCCUGGCAGACCAUCUUCUUCACACCCAGGCUCAAGAUGGAGCCAUUUCCACUGAUGCAGAAGGGAAGGAGGAGGAAGGAGAAAGUCCUUUGGAUUCUCUGGCAGAAACGUUUUGGGAAACUACUAAAUGGACUGAUCUCUUUGACAAUAAGGUUUUGACAUUUGCAUAUAAACAUGCAUUAGUAAAUAAAAUGUAUGGGAGAGGCCUUAAAUUUGCAACUAAACUUGUGGAAGAAAAACCAACAAAAGAAAACUGGAAAAAUUGUAUUCAACUGAUGAAGUUACUUGGAUGGACCCAUUGUGCAUCUUUUACUGAAAACUGGCUCCCCAUCAUGUAUCCUCCCGAUUAUUGCGUAUUCUAAAAUAGGAAACAAGACUUUAAAUUUUAAAAAAGGAAGUUUUAUAGUAA
RNAcentral lists this small RNA (911 nucleotides) under Pongo abelii (Sumatran orangutan). Its description in RNAcentral is "processed transcript". Lineage: Eukaryota; Metazoa; Chordata; Mammalia; Primates; Hominidae. The record is from RNAcentral.